GCCAGAGUAGCAAAGUGCUCUGAGUGCUGGACUAUAACUCUGGAGACCAAGGUUCAAUUCCUUGCUUGGUCG
This is a non-coding RNA of Phrynosoma platyrhinos (Desert horned lizard), 72 nucleotides long. NCBI's taxonomy places the organism in Eukaryota, Metazoa, Chordata, Lepidosauria, Squamata, Phrynosomatidae. The record is from the annotation of a GenBank genome assembly.